CCUACGGGAGGCUGCAGUGAGGAAUAUUGGUCAAUGGGCGUAAGCCUGAACCAGCCAAGCCGCGUGAGGGAUGAAGGUUCUAUGGAUCGUAAACCUCUUUUAUAAGGGAAUAAAGUGCGGGACGUGUCCCGUUUUGUAUGUACCUUACGAAUAAGGAUCGCCUAACUCCGUGCCAGCAGCCGCGGUAAUACGGAGGAUCCGAGCGUUAUCCGGAUUUAUUGGGUUUAAAGGGUGCGUAGGCGGCCUUUUAAGGCAGCGGUGAAAGUCUGUGGCUCAACCAUAGAAUUGCCGUUGAAACUGGGAGGCUUGAGUAUGUUUGAGGCAGGUGGAAUGCGAGGUGUAGCGGUGAAAUGCGUAGAGAUCACGCGGAACCCCGGUUGCGAAGGCAGCCUG
This 393-nucleotide ribosomal RNA is filed under the name uncultured bacterium. RNAcentral describes it as "partial 16S ribosomal RNA". It matches the Rfam family "Bacterial small subunit ribosomal RNA", at positions 338 to 728 of the family's 1533-position model. The record is from RNAcentral.